AUAUAUUGUAAUUAACUCAUUGCAUUAUGUAUAGACACAAAUAUAAUAUUUUUCAUCGCACUAUUUUUGUUGUGUAUAAUGCAAUUAAUUUUUUCGCAAUCCCAACCGAGUCAUAGUGAUAGUUUGACAUUUCGAUCUCACUAAAUGUAGCAAUUAAAUAUUGAUUUAAUCUCGCAUGCAGCACGGAGUAAACCUCACAAACGGAUACCGACCGUCCCUAGAGCAAGUGGCAAAGGGCUUAAUGGUUGGUACCCGAGACCCAAGUUCGAAUCCUAGUUGAUUCAUAUUUCCAGCUAAGUUUAUUUUUAAACGAAGUCAGUAGCGUGCUACCUAUCUCUCAAAAAAAAAAAAAAAAAAAAAAAAAACCUCACAAACGGAUAGUGUAAGCUUGGGGGUGAGGUACGAGAUGGAUAUUUAAUCCGCUAGAGUUCAAAGUGGCGGUCGAACUCAUUCACGAAAUGGUAUAAAUUUAAGAUUAGCUCUAUUGCCGUGAUAUAUAUCCAAGUAAUCGUUACGCUAGGAAACAAAGUAAAAAUGUACUUGACACUGAUUAGCAUCCUAUAGACUCUUUUGUCUCCUUGUAGCAUCAAUUAUCGUAGUAGUGCCAUUAAGAUCACUAAAUUAAUAUUGGUUGAUACAAUAAUAUAAGUUGGAUGAGAUAAUACAAAGAUAAUAUAAGCUGGCUCCUUGUCCUUGUCACAUGAGUUGUUUUUUUGUCACCCCACUAUAAAGAUAGAGCACAAAUAAUAGUACCUUCGCUGUGUGUCUAGCUCAUAUUUCUUGUUUCUUGUAAUUAAAAGACGCCAAUUUCCAAAUGUCAUCUUUUGACCCAUGAUGAGAAUUAUCACCAUCCACACAAUUUAAUAUCUUGGAACUGAAUGAAACAAUUAAUUACACUAUUAAUUAAUUAACAAGUAUUUUUUUUAUAAAUGAGUAUUUGGAAUUACAAAAUAGUACGUAGCUACAAAAGAUACGCCAAGGAGAAUCAAAGGAGGGAGGAGAAUCAAAAGAGGCCAGUCAAGUGUAAACAAAUAUUUUUAGUUCUUGAAUUAUAGGUCACAGAUAAUCAGUCCUUAUAUUAUUCGAAAAGUGGUAAGCGAAAAUUUGUGAGUUUUAAGCCUAUUAUUUAGAUGUAUUAAUUCUUACCGAUCAUUCAGAUCACGACCAACUUGUAUUGUCACAUUCUUUUAGUACACAUAAAGCGAGCGAUACACCUGUAAUUGUAAAAUUGUAAAGCGCGAGGAGCCUGUGUAAAUUGAUAUUGAAUCAUCUUUC
This 1275-nucleotide long non-coding RNA is filed under the name Ananas comosus (pineapple). RNAcentral's name for it is "long non-coding RNA (ACOM_LNC022688)". Lineage: Eukaryota; Viridiplantae; Streptophyta; Magnoliopsida; Poales; Bromeliaceae. The record is from RNAcentral.